This 450-nucleotide ribosomal RNA is filed under the name Gilliamella sp. wkB108. Its description in RNAcentral is "bacterial SSU rRNA". It matches the Rfam family "Bacterial small subunit ribosomal RNA", at positions 1 to 449 of the family's 1533-position model. Lineage: Bacteria; Pseudomonadati; Pseudomonadota; Gammaproteobacteria; Orbales; Orbaceae. The record is from RNAcentral.
UUAAAUUGAAGAGUUUGAUCAUGGCUCAGAUUGAACGCUGGCGGCAGGCUUAACACAUGCAAGUCGAACGGUAACAUGAGUGCUUGCACUUGAUGACGAGUGGCGGACGGGUGAGUAAGGUAUGGGGAUCUGCCGAGUGGCGAGGGACAACAGUUGGAAACGACUGCUAAUACCUCAUAAAGUUGAGAAACCAAAGCAUGGGAUCUUCGGACCAUGUGCCAUUUGAUGAACCCAUAUGGGAUUAGCUAGUUGGUGGGGUAAAAGCUCACCAAGGCGACGAUCUCUAGCUGGUCUGAGAGGAUGACCAGCCACACUGGAACUGAGACACGGUCCAGACUCCUACGGGAGGCAGCAGUGGGGAAUAUUGCACAAUGGGGGAAACCCUGAUGCAGCCAUGCCGCGUGUAUGAAGAAGGCCUUCGGGUUGUAAAGUACUUUCGGUGAUGAGGAA